Molecule: ribosomal RNA, 1087 nt
Filed under: uncultured crenarchaeote
Lineage: Archaea; Thermoproteati; Thermoproteota
Description: bacterial SSU rRNA
Rfam family: Archaeal small subunit ribosomal RNA
Source: RNAcentral
CCAGGCCCUACGGGCGCAGCAGGCGCGAAAACUUUGCAAUGUGCGAAAGCACGACAAGGUUAAUCCGAGUGCAACAUGCUGAAUGUAGCUUUUGGUAAAUGUAAAUAGUUUAUUGAAUAAGGGGAGGGAAAGUCUGGUGUCAGCCGCCGCGGUAAUACCAGCUCCCCGAGUGGUCGGGNCGAUUAUUGGGCCUAAAGCAUCCGUAGCCCGUUCUGUAGGUCUUAUGUUAAAAUCAAUUGCUCAACAAUUGAACUGCAUGAGAUACCACAAAACUAGGAGGCGGGAGAGGUGGACGGUACUCCACGGGUAGGGGUAAAAUCCUCUGAACCGUGGAAGACCACCAGUGGCGAAGGCGGUCCACCAGAACGCGCUCGACGGUGAGGGAUGAAAGCUGGGGUAGCGAACCGGAUUAGAUACCCGGGUAGUCCCAGCUGUAAACGAUGCAAGCUAGGUGAUGCAUCAGCCACGUGUUGAUGCAGUGCCGCAGGGAAGCCGUUAAGCUUGCCGCCUGGGGAGUACGGUCGCAAGGCUGAAACUUAAAGGAAUUGGCGGGGGAGCACCACAAGGGGUGAAGCCUGCGGUUCAAUUGGAGUCAACGCCGGGAACCUUACCAGGAGAGACAGCAGAGUGAAGGUCAAGCUGAAGACUUUACCAGACAAGCUGAGAGGAGGCGCAUGGCCGUCGACAGCUCGUGCCGUGAGGCGUCCUGUUAAGUCAGGCAACGAGCGAGACCCUUGCCAUUAAUUGCUUCCAUCGAUCGAAAGGUUGGCGGAGCUAGUUAAUGGGACUGCCGUUGAUAAAACGGAGGAAGGAAGGGGCCACGGCAGGUCAGUAUGCCCCGAAACUCUUGGGCCACACGCGGGCUGCAAUGGUAGGCACAAUAGGUACCGAAUUCGAGAGAAUGAGGCAAUCCCAAAAUCCUACCCCAGUUGUGAUUGAGGGCUGCAACUCGCCCUCAUGAAUCUGGAAUCCCUAGUAACCGCGUGUCAACAUCGCGCGGUGAAUACGUCCCUGCUCCUUGCACACACCGCCCGUCGCUUCACCCGAGUUGGGUUUGGAGGAGAUAGUGUCUCAUUGACAUUAUCGA